CAAAGCGUAGCUUAAGCUAAAGCACCUGGCUUACACCCAGGAGAUAUUAUAAUAACUAGUCGCUUUGAA
This 69-nucleotide transfer RNA is filed under the name Rhynchonycteris naso (proboscis bat). RNAcentral describes it as "tRNA-Val". It matches the Rfam family "tRNA". Rfam says of the family: Transfer RNA (tRNA) molecules are approximately 80 nucleotides in length. Their secondary structure includes four short double-helical elements and three loops (D, anti-codon, and T loops). Lineage: Eukaryota; Metazoa; Chordata; Mammalia; Chiroptera; Emballonuridae. The record is from RNAcentral.